CCUUAAUGUUGCCUCGGCGGAUCAGCCCGCGCCCUGUAAAACGGGACGGCCCGCCAGAGGACCCAAACUCUAAUGUUUCUUAUUGUAACUUCUGAGUAAAACAAACAAAUAAAUCAAAACUUUCAACAACGGAUCUCUUGGUUCUGGCAUCGAUGAAGAACGCAGCAAAAUGCGAUAAGUAAUGUGAAUUGCAGAAUUCAGUGAAUCAUCGAAUCUUUGAACGCACAUUGCGCCCGCUGGUAUUCCGGCGGGCAUGCCUGUUCGAGCGUCAUUUCAACCCUCAAGCCCCCGGGUUUGGUGUUGGGGAUCGGCUCUGCCUUACGGCGGUGCCGCCCCCGAAAUACAUUGGCGGUCUCGCUGCAGCCUCCAUUGCGUAGUAGCUAACACCUCGCAACUGGAACGCGGCGCGGCCAUGCCGUAAAACCCCAACUUCUGAAUGUUGACCUCGGAUCAGGUAGGAAUACCCGCUGAACUUAAGCA
RNAcentral lists this ribosomal RNA (480 nucleotides) under Fusarium avenaceum. RNAcentral describes it as "eukaryotic LSU rRNA". The stretch from base 118 to 271 matches the Rfam family "5.8S ribosomal RNA". The record is from RNAcentral. Lineage: Eukaryota; Fungi; Ascomycota; Sordariomycetes; Hypocreales; Nectriaceae.